UACGUAGGGGGCAAGCGUUGUCCGGAUUUAUUGGGCGUAAAGCGCGUGUAGGCGGCCAGAUAGGUCUGCUGUGAAAACUCGAGGCUCAACCUCGAGCUGUCGGCGGAAACCAUCUGGCUAGAGUCCGGAAGAGGAGAGUGGAAUUCCUGGUGUAGCGGUGAAAUGCGCAGAUAUCAGGAAGAACACCUAUGGCGAAGGCAGCUCUCUGGGACGGUACUGACGCUGAGACGCGAAAGCGUGGGGAGCGAACAGG
This 253-nucleotide ribosomal RNA is filed under the name uncultured bacterium. RNAcentral's name for it is "partial 16S ribosomal RNA". It matches the Rfam family "Bacterial small subunit ribosomal RNA", at positions 524 to 776 of the family's 1533-position model. The record is from RNAcentral.